GAUGAAGAACGCAGCGAAAUGCGAUAAGUAAUGUGAAUUGCAGAAUUCAGUGAAUCAUCGAAUCUUUGAACGCAUCUUGCGCUCCUUGGUAUUCUGAGGAGCAUGCCUGUUUGAGUGUCAUUAAAUUCUCAACUACACUGACUUUGAAUUGGUGUGGCUUGGAUUUGGGGGGAAAUUUGUUGUGGGCUUUUUGUAUAGUCUGCUCCCCUGAAAUUGAUUAGCGGUACCUUUGUGGAACUGUCUACAGGUGUGAUAAUUAUCUACAUCUUAGACAUCUGCUGGAAUGCUGCUUUCUAAACCUUACUUGUAUUGACAAUCUUGACCUCAAAUCAGGUAGGACUACCCGCUGAACUUAAGCAUAUCAAUAAGCGGAGGA
RNAcentral lists this unclassified non-coding RNA (376 nucleotides) under soil metagenome. Its description in RNAcentral is "partial contains 5.8S ribosomal RNA, internal transcribed spacer 2, and large subunit ribosomal RNA". The stretch from base 1 to 120 matches the Rfam family "5.8S ribosomal RNA", at positions 35 to 154 of the family's 154-position model. The record is from RNAcentral.